Molecule: long non-coding RNA, 369 nt
Filed under: Lathyrus oleraceus (garden pea)
Lineage: Eukaryota; Viridiplantae; Streptophyta; Magnoliopsida; Fabales; Fabaceae
Description: Pisum sativum (pea) long non-coding RNA (PSAT_LNC013571)
Source: RNAcentral
GUGGAUCCCCCUCCUUUAGGCCUAUAACAUUUUUCUAGCUACAACUCUAAUUUUCAGCAUGUUUUUGUCUUUCGUAUAUAUGUUUUAUUUAUUAUUAUCUUAUUAUUGCUUUAUCUAUUUAUUUUUGUUCUUUCAUUUAUUUUCUUUAGUUUUUUUUAAUUCUUUUACCUCUUGUGUAUAUAAUGUGCCCCUCCCUUUUAUUGUUUCUUUUACCUUUUUUAUUGCUUUAUUUUUUAGUUUAUUUUAUUGUAUUUUUAGUUGAUGCAUAAUUGUUAAUCUAAAAAGACAAAAUGACUCUUAACAUUAACCUUAAAAAAAUACUAAAAUCAAGGGUGCUUGAUCAACAUCAAGUACAUUUUUCAAAAUCAU